This 308-nucleotide small RNA is filed under the name Histoplasma capsulatum. RNAcentral's name for it is "hypothetical RNA". Lineage: Eukaryota; Fungi; Ascomycota; Eurotiomycetes; Onygenales; Ajellomycetaceae. RNAcentral also lists the same sequence under 1 other name. The record is from RNAcentral.
AAAAAAACACUGCCUUUUUCGUGGCCUUGUUGUAUCCUAAAGAUCUGCACUGUCAGCUCCUGAACCAUUGAGAGAAGGAAGGCUGAAUGGCCAAAGCGACCUGAUCAAGCAUAAAGAUUGCCGCACUUUGCCGCAGUCAGUGCUUAGCCCAGUCAGAUGUGAGAUAUUUGCUGAUUGAAUCAUUCUAACUUCUUACCAAAAUAUAUCCAAAAUGCGCGAGCUCUGGCAUGGGGAUAUAAUGUGAAUGUCUCAUCCGUAACAGGACCAACUAGCUCCAACCGAAUCAUUCAACAUGCAUAACUCUGGUG